RNAcentral lists this ribosomal RNA (437 nucleotides) under uncultured bacterium. RNAcentral describes it as "bacterial SSU rRNA". It matches the Rfam family "Bacterial small subunit ribosomal RNA", at positions 354 to 796 of the family's 1533-position model. The record is from RNAcentral.
GUGAGGAAUUUUGCGCAAUGGGGGAAACCCUGACGCAGCGACGCCGCGUGGAGGAAGACGGCCUUCGGGUUGUAAACUCCUGUCAGAGGUGAAGAAUGCCCGCAAGGGCUUGACGGUAACCUCAGAGGAAGCCCCGGCUAACUACGUGCCAGCAGCCGCGGUAAUACGUAGGGGGCGAGCGUUGCUCGGAAUUACUGGGCGUAAAGGGAGUGCAGGCGGCCGGUUAAGUCAAAGAUGAAAUCCCGAGGCUUAACUUCGGAAUGGUCUUUGAUACUGAUCGGCUUGAGGCUGGUUGAGGAGAGCGGAAUUCCCGGUGGAGCGGUGAAAUGCGUAGAUAUCGGGAGGAACACCAGAGGCGAAGGCGGCUCUCUAAACUAGUCCUGACGCUGAGACUCGAAAGCUAGGGGAGCAAACGGGAUUAGAAACCCUAGUAGUCC